UGCUGGUUGCCUUGUUGGAGAUAGUCAAGAGUGCACCAAGUAGGAUUAGGAGGAGAAGCAAGGAUAAUUAGGAAACAGCUUGUGGACAUGACAACUCAUAUCAUCAAAACUGUCAAAUUGAACAAAGACAUGUUUCUUUUUUUGUGUAUUGGUGGGGGGUAGAGGAACUAGAUAGAGAGGGUCCAGUCCAGGGUGAAAGGGUUG
RNAcentral lists this long non-coding RNA (204 nucleotides) under Linum usitatissimum (flax). RNAcentral describes it as "long non-coding RNA (LUSI_LNC000108)". The record is from RNAcentral. Lineage: Eukaryota; Viridiplantae; Streptophyta; Magnoliopsida; Malpighiales; Linaceae.